GCCGGGAAUCCGGGAAUGGCGGGGAGCGGGGGAUUUUCCCGCACCCUCCUCCCCCUCAGCGGUCGCGCCCGGGCCGCGGCGAUGGAGCGGCUGCGGGGCCGGGGCUGCCCGGGAUCCUCCGGGAGGCUUCAGCUCCUUGGGUUUAGUCCUAAACGUUCUUGUGCCUGAGCCCCCCCCCCCCCUUUUUUUUUUUCCGGCCAAAAACCCCUCGCCCCGAACAAUUGUUAAAAACAGCCCUGCAGCCGUGAGAGUGGGACAUGCGGCGAUUUCGGGGAGCACGAGGGUUGUUUUGUGCCUGGAUUUGCGGCGCGCUGCGUGGGCUCUCAGAGGGUGCCUUAUUUAAAAGUGCUGUUUACGUGUCUGCUUUUUUAUAGAGGUAAUAUUUUACUGAGUAUGAUAAUAAAGAGAGGACGCGCUGUUGAAGGUUGUGUGGCUGCUUUUCGUUGUGUCUUUUUAGCGGGAAAAGGGAACUGUCUUUAUUCAAGACAGUAGGGCGUCUGCAAACAGAAGUGAACUGAUACCUCUGGUACUUUUUAAUUCCAAACGAGAUGAGGAUCCCCUCUUUGCUGAUGGGAUUCCCUCGUUAUUUCUCCAGAAGAACUUACUUCACGAACUUCCACUUCGUUUCCAGAGCCGAUUUUCUGUGCAUUGGAUCUCUUGCAUCAGUGCACCACUGUCAUACAAAAUGGAUGUGUUCAUCAAAUGGUUUGAGGAGAGAGCUCUGUCAACAAGUAGCCCCUGAGCAGCAAAUAGAGGGACUUUCUGACAGAGAACAAAGACUCGUAGACAGACUUUACAAUGGACUAAUCCAGGGUCAUAGAGCCUGUUUAGCCGAAGCCAUUACACUUGUAGAAUCAACUCAGAGUAGGAAGAAGAAAGUAGCCCAGGUGCUCCUUCAGAAGGUAUUAUCCUACCACAGGGAACAAGAAAAAUUAAAUCAAGGAAAACCACUUGCCUUUAGAGUGGGGUUGUCUGGUCCUCCCGGUGCUGGGAAAUCGACUUUCAUAGAGUGCUUUGGGAAAAUGCUUACAGAAAGAAAACACAAAGUGUCUGUGCUGGCUGUAGACCCUUCCUCUAGUACAAGUGGUGGUUCUCUGUUGGGUGAUAAAACACGGAUGACUGAGUUGUCAAGAGACAUGAACGCUUACAUCAGACCAUCUCCAACCAGUGGGACGCUGGGAGGUGUAACAAGGACCACAAAUGAAGCCAUUCUGCUGUGUGAAGGAGGAGGCUACGAUGUUGUUCUUGUGGAAACUGUAGGUGUGGGACAGUCAGAAUUUGCUGUGGCUGAUAUGGUUGAUAUGUUUAUAUUGCUGCUACCACCUGCAGGUGGAGAUGAAUUACAGGGUAUCAAGCGGGGUAUAAUUGAGAUGGCAGAUCUGGUUGCUAUAAAUAAAGCUGAUGGCGAUUUAGUUGUGGCUGCACGAAGAAUACAGGCUGAGUACAUCAGUGCUAUGAAGCUGCUUCGCAAGCGUUCGAAGGUUUGGAGACCAAAGGUAAUGCGCAUCUCUGCCAAAACUGGAGAAGGUAUCUCGGACAUGUGGGACAAAAUGACCGAGUUCCGUGACCUCAUGCUCACGAGCGGUGAGUUGAUCGCCAAACGACGGAAACAGCAGAAAGUGUGGAUGUGGAAUCUCAUCCAAGAAAACAUGUUGGAACAUUUCCGGAGUCACUUGGCGGUCAAAGAUAAGAUUCCACUUCUAGAAGAAAAGGUUCUUAGUGGAGUCUUGUCUCCUGGACUGGCAGCCGACCUGCUACUGAAAGCAUUCAAAGAUAGUCUCUAAGCAUUAUUUUCUUACUCUGUUCCUGAUAAGUGCUUUAUGUAAACAUGAACAUUAAAUACUCUUUUUCUAUGUGUGGAUUCGAAUGUUUUACUACAGCAGACAUUAAUGGAAUGCCUAGCCACUACUCUGCAAAAGAAUACCACUGGAUUCUGUAUAUGGGAUGAUCAUGACAAAUCCAAGCACUCACUCAGAGAUUACUACAGACCGUAUUGGAAAAAAAGCACAAGCCCAGAUCUUCUAUUUGUACACACCAUAGAUCUGUUGAUAGGAAAUGGAUGCCCAUGUGAAAAUGUGACUGGUUUUGGGAGGGUGUGAGAGUAUUCUGGUUAUGGGGUCAUCUUAGGAACAGUUGACACUGCAGCUUUCCAAUGUAUUUUUUCUAAUACAGCAUCAGCUGUUGCCAGAAUGGAUUGCAUUUUUUAAUUUCCUCACCUUGAGUGACGGCAAGAACAUUGGACUGCCUGACAGCACUUGACCACAGUCUUAGUUUUAAAUAAAUUGUGUGCAUAUAAAUAGAACAUAGUGGUGUUUAGUCCCUGUUGGAAGCUAUAGUUAGUUAUUAUACACUGUACACAAGGAGAAGGGAAUUUUAACCAUCCCAAAAUAGAUAUUUUAAUACAAAAGCAAAAUUUAGUUAGACUUUUUUUAAAUGCAGACAUCAGAUGGAACAAAUGUUACCCAUGAUGUUUUAAUAGCAUAUGUCUUUAUACUAGAAUAAUAGAUCUCUAGAAAUAAUGGUUUGAGGUUUUUUGAUCUGAUUUACAUUUUCUGGAUUCAGACAAAAUGGCCAGUUGUGUUUUUGGUAUUUUUUCCUCUCUUCCAGAAGACAUGACUGCUUACAACCAAAAACACUUUUAUUUUUCAUUUUUCUUUGAGAAAAAUCUGGAGGAAGCAUUUCCCUAAGCCAUGAUCUAGAAAGCAGAGCUCAUCUGGCACCUACUAAAUGUGAAGGAUGAAGUGGAAAAGUGCUGAGUUUUGGAGACCUGACUGAAAAAACAGUAAAAUAUGAGAGUUUGUGAGUCUGUUGUUGCUUAGGUGAAUUAACUUUUUAAAACAUACAUUGAAAGUGGUGAUUUUCAUAGUUUUUGUUUUCUUAACUUGUACAUAAAAGGUAUGAUGUCUUUAGCUCACUUUCACCUGUUUGGCUUGUAGCAACCCAAUUCCAGCAUAGCAGUGAAUUGGUUUACUUAGGUCCUCUUUUUUCCUUAAUAUUUUUUUUCCCCCCAAAGUACUUUUUUCUCUUCUUUCCCCUUAUCCCAGCUGUUAUACUGUGCUCCCAACUGAGUUUACUUUUUCCUGCUAGGCCUCUGGGCUUCAGAAUUUUGAUUCCUUCGUAGGCAUAAUUUGGCAGUUGUCAGAAAAGAUGAAUGAUUUCUGAAAAUGCUGAAGAUUUUGUUUCAUUUGUUUUUCAAAGUGGCACAAAUUACACAAUGCAGAAGAAACCUCUAUCCUUGAUGCUAGUAUUCCAGUUAUUUUUACCAUUUUAUGAUGGUGUCUAUAUAAUAGUCCAUAUAUUUUUAUUCUAAAAAUACAAAGUAUGACUAGAAAGUAAAAAGCAAACUGCAAGGCAAAUUAAAAGUACUCAUUAAAAGCCUAAAAGUAAUGAUUCCCUUGUAUGUUUGCAGUGAAAUACUAAUGAAGGGCACUGUGGUGUUUUGUGGGGCAUACAGCUCAGGCAUUUCUUGGCUAAGAAGUCUUGCACUGGUGUAGCUGGUAUUAGUGGUUUCCACCACAUGAAUUGCAGAACUUCAGAGCCCUGACCCCUUAUUCUUAUUUCUUAAUCAGUAAUUUGGCGUUGUGGAGUUGGUUACAUAGAAGCAGCUGAGGGAAUAGAGGGAGUGGCAGAAGCACAGGCAGAAGCACAUUAUGACCAUGCUGAGUUGUGAAAGAAAUGUAGUGCUUAUAGUUUCUUUUUUAUUUAAACAGCCUCUAUUGAAUAUGACAGAGAGUGCCCCAAACCAAAAGUAAUGUCUCCUGUCCUUUCAGCUUUAGAUAUUGACUGUAUUUUAUGGUACCUAGUAGAAGAAAUGACAGUCAGGUGGAAAAUGAAUUAAUGAGAGCAGCAGCAGCAUUUUAACUGGUGAGUUCACAACUUUUUGAUAGUCCAUUUGUUUCAGGUGGCAGUUUUUGAGGUGACCUCAUUUGUGUUUGUCUGUUAGAUCAAACCCUUAUUAUUGUCAUUACUGCUGCUUCUGUCAGGGACUGCUGUUUUCCUUGUCUGUUAUACAUGAGCUGCCAAGCAAGUAAAAUAGAACCUGCAGCCUUGUUUAAAUGACAGCUGCUUAAGCAGAAAAUGUUUUGCCACUUGUUCAGUAUUUGUUUUCUGGUUGCAGGUCUGUUGAUGCACUCAAGCCAUGGGCCAUCAUUAUUUUCUCGUUUUGUUGCUUCCUUUAAAGUACUGCUAAUUUACUAACGAUCUCUUAGCAGAAGACAGUUCAAUGGCUUAAGCAGAGCAUUUCAAAUGCAUUUUCCUCUUAAAACAGAGCAUUAAAUGAAAAUCAGAUUUGCCUUCUUUAUGUGUUCGCUUGUGCCUCGUGCCUCAGUAGACACAGAAAUACCCUGAUACAGCUUGUAAAAUUUUGCUGUGCCAUGUUUUGGAGUCAACAGCUGUUCAAUUAAUUGUGCACUUCUGUUCAUGCCCUCACAGGCUGGGGAAAUGCAUUGUCUUCAGAAGGGCUGCACAGCUUUAGCUGGUAGGCUACAACUCAGUAAACAAUUUGGUAUUUCCCAAGAUAGGGAAGAGCAUUUCCAGCUCAUUAUUUUUAGCUCUGUGGGAUUAAGUUGGCUAAAAUGCAUUAAAAUAUUGUCAUUCGAGUAAACAGGCUUCUUAAAAACGCUAGUAAACAAAUCUGUUGAGUAGGAUGUUGACAUAUUCCUAGUUUGUAGAGUUGUUAAGUUGCUCUCAUGUUAACAUUUAAAACCACAGCUACUGCAGAAUAGUAUGGGAAGAUAAUAUAACUUUAUGAGAAAACAAUAGCAAGAUUAAGUUUGUAGCUGAAAGUAUGAUAAACUGUUAGACAAAUUGGGACAAUUUUUGUUAGACAAAUGGGAGGUAAGGAAUAAACUGUUCAAAUACAUGAACUCAUCUCCUGUGGAGUCUUACACUUUUCUGUAAGAGUGAAACUUUUCCUCAGGUCCCUGUGUAAUAGAAUUUGCUAGUGUUUCACAGCUGGAAAAAACAAGUGUGAUGAGAUCAAGUGAUUUACCCAGGACUCUGAAACAGGUCAGUAGGGUAUAAGGGUUACAGUUCAAUAGUCUUUUUACUCUGAGCCCCAUGUAUAUUUACAGCCACGUUACUUAAGGUUGAAAAAAUGCUCUUAGCAAGUUCAUGCUCUUAGUGUGACUUAUUCCCUUCAUAUCUAAUCUCUCUGUUUUCAGUGACAGGACCCAGUGACCCUUCUUGACUACUGUUCUGUUGUAAUGUCCUGCUUUAAGUAAUAAAAAACUUUUCUUUCAUA
RNA transcript from Pseudopipra pipra, 5242 nucleotides. The record is from RefSeq and is a predicted model, not a curated record. NCBI's taxonomy places the organism in Eukaryota, Metazoa, Chordata, Aves, Passeriformes, Pipridae.